RNAcentral lists this ribosomal RNA (1743 nucleotides) under Triticum aestivum (bread wheat). Its description in RNAcentral is "partial small subunit ribosomal RNA". The record is from RNAcentral. Lineage: Eukaryota; Viridiplantae; Streptophyta; Magnoliopsida; Poales; Poaceae.
GACACCCACGAUGGUGUGGAGGAACACUCCGGUGUGAAUCCUAUCUCAUCUUCGGCCGAAGGGGGAACCUCGGUCUCUCGUGAGGAGUUCAAUGUGGCUUUGGACACAUUGAAAACCUCCAUGACGGCCGAGGUUAAAAGCAUGUUUAAUGAUUUCUUAGAGGGACUUAAACUAUCUACCGCACCUAUGAAAGUGGGUGAUCCCACUAACAAGGUGACGGAUGCUUUCUCCGAUAAGGGGGAAGCUAACAAUGAAAAGAGUCCUUCUACUAGUGGUAGAAAUGGCACCGGCAUCUUUGCCCAUGUGGAACCCCCGGUCUAUGGAGGGCCUAUCCCGUCCACUCAUUUGAAUCAUGCUGGUCCACCUCCUAAGUAUGAAAAAGGUGUAGAUUUUGAUAAUUGGGUCUAUCGCUUUAAGCGUCAUUUGAAACAUGUGAACACUAACCUUUGGAGAGUCAUUGAAGAAGGUUUUUAUCCUCAUGACCCAAGCAACUUCACCCCUCGAGAAGCCGUGGACAAUCAAUUCAAUGAGAGUGCUCUCUUCAUCAUUCAAGAUGCAAUUCUUCCCGAAGAUCUCCCUCACCUUCGACCCCACGUCGUGGCUAAAGAAGCAUGGAAAUGUGUUGAGGGCCUCUAUCGUGGAAGUGCUAGCAUUCAACGGUCCAACUAUGAAGUGGUGCAAGAUGAAGCCGACGAGUUUGCAAUGAAAGAAGAUGAAGAACCUCGUGAGCUCUUUCGAAGAGUAACCAAACUCGCGGUGGCACUUCGAGAUCAUGGAAGCAAGGAUACGGAUGACAAUUGGAUCAAGCGAAAGUUCCUCAAGGCCAUGAUGCCCUACAACAAAGCCAUGUCCUCCGUCAUUCGUCAACGACCGGACUUUCACACCAUGACCUCAAGUGAAGUGUUGGAUGAGUUCGUUGCAAUGAACAUCUUGGACAAGACCGCCGAAAAUGCGGUGCUCCGUUCUCAAAGAGCUAAGAAGCCUAACCUUGCCUUGAAGGCCAAGGUCAUUGUCGAAGAAGAGGAAGAAGUGGAAGAUGAGGAAAGCAACCCCGAAUACACCAAGUUCGACUACCAUGAACACAUGGCCCUUGCUUCAAGACAAUUUUGGAGCAAGAAGAGCUCAAGACCCAACUUCAACAAGAAUAACUCAAGUGGCGUCAAGGGCAAGCAACGAGUUAGAACUUGCUUCAACUGUGGCAAUGUGAGCCAUUUCGUUGCGGAUUGUCCUUACGAGAAGAGGGAAGAGAAUGGUGGCAAGUUCAUUCGAAAAGACAAAGCCAAGUCCAUCCCCAACAAGAACAACUUCACCAAGAAGACUCCCACUCGUGGGUUGUUGGUUCAAGAAGAAUACCAAGAGGAUGAUGAUGAUGAUGAGAAUGAAGAAGCAACGGCCAUGGCAUCCAUUGCCAUUGCUACUCCUCGGGUGUCUCUCUUCGAAUCACCCAACGAAAACAUCACCGCUAGAUGCCUCAUGGCGAAGGCUUCAAACAAGGUAACCCCCAACAUCACAACCACCAUCAUUUCUAAUCCCUCCAUGGAGGAUUGCAUUGAUGGACAUGUUGAGUCUAAUGAGGAAGUGAAUGAAUUAGAGUCCUUCAUGAGUAAGCUAAAGGGAAAGUCCAAGAAGCACUUUGUUGCUCUCUUGGAACAACUUGGUGAGGCCAAUGACAUGAUCGAGGCUCACGAAGAAACCAUCUCCAAGAUGGAAGGUCAUAGUCGUGACUAUGCCGAUGAGAUAUCG